CAGAGCUAGCCUUCCUGAUCAGUUUCUCCAGCCUGGAUGACUCCUUCUUUGCUGUGCUGCUCCCCCAGCACACCACAGCAUAGAAAAGUACUUCAGCAACCACUGACUGGUAAAACAUCCUCAGGAGCUUCCUGCAGAUGUUAAAAGACCUCAGCCUCCUGAGGAAGUACAGUCGGCUUGUGUACAUUUUGUAUGGCAGCUAGACUGCUUUUCUAGCAUGUCAGUUCUUGAUGUGUAAGUGCAUUAGAUCCUGAUUAUCCUAGUCAACAUAGCGACAACAGUUGUAAGUUGCUUUGACAUAUGUACAGAACGUUGAUACAUUGUUUGACACCCUAAAAGUAGGAUUUGGGGGUCAUUUUACUUCACUGAGGGAUUUUAUUAGGCUUUUAACAUUUUGAGAGCACCCAGAGAAUGAAGUCGUUCUUUCAGAGGUAAAUGUGAUAGAAAACAAUCACUCUGUUGUAAAUUUAGCUCAGAAGUGUUUGACGUAUGGUGGCGGUGCGGAAACACAUGGCUACUUCUGGGUUUUACCCCAGACUUUAAGAAGCACUAACAUCAAAGUUAGCUCAUGUUUUUUUUAUUAAUUUAUCCACAGGUUCAGUCGUAUUCACUGUCCUUGAUGGUAAACAUCUGGAUGGGGCAAACAGAACGGCACAAAGGAGUGUGUGUGAUGUUUGGCCUGUUAUCUGCAGCUGCCACACAUUCAGUCAGUAGAAAGCAUGGAGGUGAUGGAGGAGCUCACAGCAGGUCCCAGCUGAGCCACACUGUCAGUGUUGGCCGGCGGUCACGUGUCAAUUCAAACACAAUGAGACUAGAAUAAAAUGUAUCCAUAAACUGGGAGACUUUAUUAAAGAGAGCGCACAUUUACACACUAACACAGCAAAGAACCCAACAUCCUGCAAAAGAAGCAACCAGGAAAGAUGAGUAUGAAGAAACUUUUACAAACUCAGCUUUGAUUUUAAUCUAGAAAUAGACAGUUGUGUGUCUGUGCUGGUCGCUGGGAUUGUUGUGUUUCUGAGGUUGACUAUUACUGAAAGGUGUUUCUGUUUCAUCGCUGCUUCACUGUUUGGACGUUUUCAUUGUGUUCCUGUCUCAGCUUUAUUUCCUGUGACUUGUUUGAGUUUGUGUUGUGAUUUUAUUGUGGUGCUGCCUCCUCAGUGUGCGUCUGGAUCGUGUUUAGUUAUUUCUUGUCUUGUUCAUUCGGUGCUGUUUUGAUGUUUAAUGUUUUACUUUAGUUUGAUUUCUCUGACCGUCAUAAAACCUUCAUCUAUUUCUGAUCUGAAGUCAGAGUUCAGAGUUCACAGUGUUUGAUUUCAUGUGUAGUUAAUCAUUUCUUCUUCCUGCUGGGAUCCUUUGUCCUUUAUUUCUUUGUCGUUCCUGAUUGUAGAGCUGAGAUAAACAUAAAGCACCACUUCUGUUUCCUUCUUUCAUUUGCAGAAGAACGUGUCUGCAUGUGUUUCUGAGUAAAGUGUGCAGUGAUACAAACAGCCUGGUUUACAUGUGAACUUUAAUGACAGAUUUAGAGCUCAGUGCAUGAAUCUGAAAUAAUAACACACAUGUACAUUUCAGCCUUUGUGCAAACACACAGUUGCAGUGAGUUUUGUUGGUCUUUGAAACAAUAAUGGUCUCUCAGAUUAAUCACAUCCAUAUAUAUCAGGCGCUGUUUGUUUCUUAGUGCAGCUGUUUGUGUUGGUGGAGGUCAAAGGUGUGUUCAGUGUCUCCACAAAGAGUCUGAAAUCACAGGAGUGUGUGACCUGUGAUUAAAAAGGUUCUGGCUCAUGUACAGCAUGUACAACAUGUAC
Astatotilapia calliptera (eastern happy) is the source of this 1802-nucleotide long non-coding RNA. The record is from Ensembl. Lineage: Eukaryota; Metazoa; Chordata; Actinopteri; Cichliformes; Cichlidae.